Molecule: transfer RNA, 58 nt
Filed under: Rattus norvegicus (Norway rat)
Lineage: Eukaryota; Metazoa; Chordata; Mammalia; Rodentia; Muridae
Source: Rfam by way of RNAcentral
UGGCUGAGAGGUUAAGAGCACUGGCUGCUAUUCCAGAGGUCCUGGGUUCAAUUCCCAG